GAAAUGCGAUAAGUAAUGUGAAUUGCAGAAUUCAGUGAAUCAUCGAAUCUUUGAACGCACGUUGCGCCCGCCAGUAUUCUGGCGGGCAUGCCUGUCCGAGCGUCAUUUCAACCAUCAAGCCCCCGGGCUUGUGUUGGGGACCUGCGGCUGCCCGCAGGCCCUGAAAACCAGUGGCGGGCUCGCUAUCACACCGAGCGUAGUAGCAAUCACCUCGCUCAGGGCGUGCUGCGGGUUCCGGCCGUUAAACAGCCUUACAAAACCCAAGGUUGACCUCGGAUCAGGUAGGAAGACCCGCUGAACUUAAGC
RNAcentral lists this unclassified non-coding RNA (306 nucleotides) under plant metagenome. RNAcentral describes it as "partial contains 5.8S ribosomal RNA, internal transcribed spacer 2, and large subunit ribosomal RNA". The stretch from base 1 to 105 matches the Rfam family "5.8S ribosomal RNA", at positions 50 to 154 of the family's 154-position model. The record is from RNAcentral.